Molecule: ribosomal RNA, 253 nt
Filed under: uncultured bacterium
Lineage: Bacteria
Description: partial 16S ribosomal RNA
Rfam family: Bacterial small subunit ribosomal RNA
Source: RNAcentral
UACGGAGGGAGCUAGCGUUGUUCGGAAUUACUGGGCGUAAAGCGCACGUAGGCGGCUUUGUAAGUUAGAGGUGAAAGCCCGGAGCUCAACACCGGAACUGCCUUUAAGACUGCAUCGCUUGAAUCCAGGAGAGGUGAGUGGAAUUCCGAGUGUAGAGGUGAAAUUCGUAGAUAUUCGGAAGAACACCAGUGGCGAAGGCGGCUCACUGGACUGGUAUUGACGCUGAGGUGCGAAAGCGUGGGGAGCAAACAGG